GCAGCAGGGGCCAGGGCCCAGGGGAGACACACCGGAAACUCGGAGGUGCGCCUGCGCACUGGGCGACCUUCCUUUCCCAGAGCAGCAGGGGCCAGGGCCCAGGGGAGACACACCGGAAACUCGGAGGUGCGCGUGCGCACUCGGGGUGGUGAAGGCCCGCCAUUGUUCCUUCUCAGCUCCCCGAAGACUUAUUUCGGGUCAAGGGCUGCUCUGCAUUUAACUCCCCGCUCAAAUCGCUGCUCCUGAAACUUCUCAUUUCCCCAAAAGCUUGUAGCUAGAAAACAGAGGGUACCUAAGGUAAAAUGGUCUGCCUUCCAAGGUCACAGCAAAUUAGUGACGGGACAGCGUCUUUCCGUUACAGCACUGGUGCUAACAGCCAAGGAACUGGACCCCUGUCAGUUUGCCUGCUCCAUCUGACUGUUCCAGUACUGCAGGGCGAGGGCCACUGCGGUUAAUCUCUGCUGUCCUCAUCAACCACCCCAGGCGAACACCUGAGGGCUCCUUACUAAGCAGAGGUCAAGGCUACAUCCGGCACUGGAGAAAGGGGGUGGGGGAGGGGAGGGGCACAAGGCUGGUCUGCCCCCUUAAAUAGAAACAAGUAAAUAUGUAAAUGCACAAAUGCAGGGAACUGUCCAAGAUAGGAUGUUAAGUGAAAAAAAAAAAGUUGCAAAAUAAUAUAUACAAGCUUGCUUCAAAAAGUUUGUGAGAUAAUGGGAUUAAAAGAUGUUUAUUUUGAUACAAAACAUUUUUGAAAUACAUACAUAUUAAGGAGCCUUCAAAAAGUUCAU
Oryctolagus cuniculus (rabbit) is the source of this 788-nucleotide non-coding RNA. The record is from RefSeq and is a predicted model, not a curated record. Lineage: Eukaryota; Metazoa; Chordata; Mammalia; Lagomorpha; Leporidae.